Molecule: small RNA, 205 nt
Filed under: Nocardia cyriacigeorgica GUH-2
Lineage: Bacteria; Bacillati; Actinomycetota; Actinomycetes; Mycobacteriales; Nocardiaceae
Description: Actinobacteria sRNA Ms_IGR-5
Rfam family: Actinobacteria sRNA Ms_IGR-5
Source: Rfam by way of RNAcentral
ACACAAGGAAGGAGGUGGUCUGAAGAAUGUUUGACUCUUGGACACGUGAGGUGGCUGCCCGCUAAGGCACCACCGCUGUACGGAUUCCGUUCGGCAUGGCGCUGAUAGCGAAUCCCAGGCAGUCACCCGGCCCCCGAGUCCCCGAUCUUGUCCGAUCGGGACCGAUGUGCCCCGGCACACCGGUACGGCUCGGGGGUCGUUCCAU